RNAcentral lists this transfer RNA (74 nucleotides) under Ipomoea nil (Japanese morning glory). It matches the Rfam family "tRNA". From Rfam's summary of the family: Transfer RNA (tRNA) molecules are approximately 80 nucleotides in length. Their secondary structure includes four short double-helical elements and three loops (D, anti-codon, and T loops). Further hydrogen bonds mediate the characteristic L-shaped molecular structure. tRNAs have two regions of fundamental functional importance: the anti-codon, which is responsible for specific mRNA codon recognition, and the 3' end, to which the tRNAs corresponding amino acid is attached (by aminoacyl-tRNA synthetases). tRNAs cope with the degeneracy of the genetic code in two manners: having more than one tRNA (with a specific anti-codon) for a particular amino acid; and 'wobble' base-pairing, i.e. permitting non-standard base-pairing at the 3rd anti-codon position. Lineage: Eukaryota; Viridiplantae; Streptophyta; Magnoliopsida; Solanales; Convolvulaceae. The record is from Rfam by way of RNAcentral.
GCUCUAGUAGCUCAGUUGGUUAGAGCACUCAUUUAUUAAGCGGGAGGUCUUGAGUUCAACUCUCAACUAAAGAA